CUACUUUUUUAUUUCUUAUCUAUAAAUAAAAUAAGACUUGUUUCCACUAGGAAUGCAACUGGCCUGGUAAUGAGAUCCCAGUCUGGUCUGGCUUCAAAGUUCAUGUUUGUUUACCAGAAGAUGAGUCAGUCCUGAAUAUAAACCUGAUCAGUGUCAUACACUUGGAAAGACCAGAAGAUGGGAUAAAAUAUGGAAAUAAAAACAUGGGAUGAGGUAUCUUAUUUUCUUUUCUUGAGAGGCCAAGGGUGAUAAAUAGAUGUUUUCAAGAAAAGCAAACUGCAGAGAUCCCAGCGCUUCUGUGUCAGAGGCUGAGUAUUAUUCCUGGAGCAUUAUUCCAGAUUCUUGUUCCUUUUCUGGGCAAGUGCUGGCCAUGCCAUGGACUGCAGUCUGAGAAAGGUGAACUUAAUUUUUCAGUGUACAGAGGAGCUUAUGAAGUUUUGCCUUGUAAUUACCCUGGUCAUAUCCCUGUAUGUCCACACUUCUACACCAUUUUUGCUGAAAAGAUGAUCGUGGACCUUGGAGAAGAUUCCGAUUCAAUGGGCAAUCAGCUGAAUUUACACUAUAGCAGCAUGUAAACUGAGUAACCAGAUGUGUACUUGAAUUUCCUGAAUUUUAUGUAUCAUCUGGAUGAAGCAUCUGGAUCCACCUCAUUGUGUAGCCUUUACUGACACAAAAUAUUUUGGACUGGCAGGUAAAGGAAACCAGAAUCAGCUGGUAGUGUUCAGCUUGCUCCAAAGCCUGUUGGAUUGCCCUUAAUGACUACAUUAAGCUGAUCGGAAGCAGAGGGAAGCUGGUAGCUAUGCAAGAUACUGGACUUGCUUUCUGAUUCCAGCUCAGUCAGAGUGCUAUUUUCCUAUAUCUCUGUGAGCCGUGAAUUCUCACUUGGACUCAUCCAGGAGACAGAAAUGUUUCUGUGUAUGGAACUGGAAACAUGGUCACUAGUCAGCUAAAUGCAUCUGCCACUGGUGGAACCUGGAAGAACAACAAACUCACAUUUCUAUGGACUCCUAGCAAAACAUAACCUGUUUUUUUUUCCCCUGAAGAUAAAGAUAAAUUUUCACAGACACAACGCAGCCACACUGUAUUUAUAGCUGCAGAUGGCUGCUCUUUCCCCUUAGCCUCACAAGUAUGUAUAUUAAACAAUAGGAAACUCUGCAGAGGUGUUUUUCUUUGUUUUGUUGUAUGUGAGCCUGUC
This 1195-nucleotide long non-coding RNA is filed under the name Anas platyrhynchos platyrhynchos (common mallard). Its description in RNAcentral is "lncRNA (ENSAPLG00000026096.1)". The record is from RNAcentral. Lineage: Eukaryota; Metazoa; Chordata; Aves; Anseriformes; Anatidae.